AUAACGUAGUAGAAAGUUACGCUAAUACCGCAUACGAUCUAAGGAUGAAAGCGGGGGACUCGCAAGAGCCUCGCGCGAUUGGAGCGGCCGAUAUCAGAUUAGGUAGUUGGUGGGGUAAAGGCUCACCAAGCCAACGAUCUGUAGCUGGUCUGAGAGGACGACCAGCCACACUGGAACUGAGACACGGUCCAGACUCCUACGGGAGGCAGCAGUGGGGAAUUUUGGACAAUGGACGCAAGUCUGAUCCAGCCAUUCCGCGUGCAGGAUGAAGGCCCUCGGGUUGUAAACUGCUUUUGUACGGAACGAAAAGGUUUCUAUUAAUACUAGGAGCUCAUGACGGUACCGUAAGAAUAAGCACCGGCUAACUACGUG
This 372-nucleotide ribosomal RNA is filed under the name uncultured bacterium. RNAcentral's name for it is "bacterial SSU rRNA". It matches the Rfam family "Bacterial small subunit ribosomal RNA", at positions 143 to 507 of the family's 1533-position model. The record is from RNAcentral.